CUGGCGGCGUGCCUAAUACAUGCAAGUCGAACGGUCUUUUCUAUGGAAGCUUGCUUCCACUGAGAAGAUAGUGGCGAACGGGUGAGUAACACGUGGGUAACCUGCCCAUAAGAGGGGGAUAACAUCCGGAAACGGGUGCUAAUACCGCAUAGUUUUCUUGAUCGCAUGAUUGAGAAAGGAAAGACGGCCUUUGUGCUGUCGCUUAUGGAUGGACCCGCGGCGUAUUAGUUAGUUGGUGAGGUAACGGCUCACCAAGACGAUGAUACGUAGCCGACCUGAGAGGGUGAUCGGCCACAUUGGGACUGAGACACGGCCCAAACUCCUACGGGAGGCGGGGAGCAGUAGGGAAUCUUCCGCAAUGGACGAAAGUCUGACGGAGCAACGCCGCGUGAGUGAAGAAAGGUUUUCGGAUCGUAAAACUCUGUUGUCAGAGAAGAACAAGUUGGAGAGUAACUGCUCCAGCCUUGACGGUAUCUGACCAGAAAGCCACGGCUAACUACGUGCCAGCCGCAGC
Molecule: ribosomal RNA, 514 nt
Filed under: uncultured bacterium
Lineage: Bacteria
Description: bacterial SSU rRNA
Rfam family: Bacterial small subunit ribosomal RNA
Source: RNAcentral